CCGUACUAGGUGGGGAGUUAGUUGUGCCCUGUAACCUGAAACCAACUAUAUGCAGGACUGAAAGGUUGGCUUGAGGGAUGUCAUUGUGCAAAUAAUUAUCUGUUAUAGUUAGGUGUUGAUUUCAAGGUCUUAUGCAAUGAUCUGCCACGAACCAUGUCAGGUUCGGAAGAAAGCAGCAUUAAGUGGAUUAGAUUAUGUGCCAUAAGGAAGCUUUGGAUGAGUCUAAUUAUCUUAGAU
This 237-nucleotide signal recognition particle RNA is filed under the name pig gut metagenome. Its description in RNAcentral is "Bacterial large signal recognition particle RNA". It matches the Rfam family "Bacterial large signal recognition particle RNA", at positions 1 to 227 of the family's 256-position model. From Rfam's summary of the family: The signal recognition particle (SRP) is a universally conserved ribonucleoprotein involved in the co-translational targeting of proteins to membranes. The record is from RNAcentral.